Molecule: ribosomal RNA, 376 nt
Filed under: uncultured soil bacterium
Lineage: Bacteria
Description: bacterial SSU rRNA
Rfam family: Bacterial small subunit ribosomal RNA
Source: RNAcentral
AGAACGAACGCUGGCGGCAUGCCUAACACAUGCAAGUCGAACGAGACCUUCGGGUCUAGUGGCGCACGGGUGCGUAACGCGUGGGAAUCUGCCCCUUGGUUCGGAAUAACUCAGAGAAAUUUGAGCUAAUACCGGAUGAUGACGUAAGUCCAAAGAUUUAUCGCCAAGGGAUGAGCCCGCGUAGGAUUAGCUAGUUGGUGAGGUAAAGGCUCACCAAGGCGACGAUCCUUAGCUGGUCUGAGAGGAUGAUCAGCCACACUGGGACUGAGACACGGCCCAGACUCCUACGGGAGCAGCAGUGGGGAAUAUUGGACAAUGGGCGAAAGCCUGAUCCAGCAAGGCCGCGUGAGUGAUGAAGGCCUUAGGGUUGUAAAGC